RNAcentral lists this ribosomal RNA (459 nucleotides) under uncultured bacterium. RNAcentral's name for it is "bacterial SSU rRNA". It matches the Rfam family "Bacterial small subunit ribosomal RNA", at positions 923 to 1379 of the family's 1533-position model. The record is from RNAcentral.
GCACAAGCGGUGGACAUGUGGUUUAAUUCGACGCAACGCGCAGAACCUUACCAGCCCUUGACAUCCCGGUCGCGGACUCCAGAGACGGAGUUCUUCAGUUCGGCUGGACCGGAGACAGGUGCUGCAUGGCUGUCGUCAGCUCGUGUCGUGAGAUGUUGGGUUAAGUCCCGCAACGAGCGCAACCCCCGUCCUUAGUUGCUACCAUUUAGUUGAGCACUCUAAGGAGACUGCCGGUGAUAAGCCGCGAGGAAGGUGGGGAUGACGUCAAGUCCUCAUGGCCUUUAUGUCCAGGGCUACACACGUGCUACAAUGGCCGGUACAAACCGCUGCAACCCCGCGAGGGUGAGCUAAUCGGAAAAAGCCGGCCUCAGUUCGGAUUGGAGUCUGCAACUCGACUCCAUGAAGCUGGAAUCGCUAGUAAUCGUGGAUCAGCAUGCCACGGUGAAUACGUUCCCGGGC